This 154-nucleotide small nuclear RNA is filed under the name Nannospalax galili (Upper Galilee mountains blind mole rat). RNAcentral describes it as "U1 spliceosomal RNA (ENSNGAG00000003187.1)". It matches the Rfam family "U1 spliceosomal RNA". From Rfam's summary of the family: U1 is a small nuclear RNA (snRNA) component of the spliceosome (involved in pre-mRNA splicing). Its 5' end forms complementary base pairs with the 5' splice junction, thus defining the 5' donor site of an intron. The record is from Rfam by way of RNAcentral. Lineage: Eukaryota; Metazoa; Chordata; Mammalia; Rodentia; Spalacidae.
AUAUUUACAUGGCAGAGGAGAUAUCAUAAUCAAGAAGGUGGCCUUCUCAGAGUGACACUCAUUCAUUGCCAGUGGUAUGUGCUGAUCCUUGAGAUUUCCCCAAACAUGGGAAACUACUGCAUUAUUUGUGGUAGUGUAGGACUAUGGUCCUGCU